CCUACGGGUGGCUGCAGUGGGGAAUAUUGGGCAAUGGUCGCAAGCCUGACCCAGCCACGCCGCGUGAAGGAAGAAGGCUUUCUGGUUUUAAACUUCUUUUCUCAGGGACGAAGCAAGUGACGGUACCUGAGUAAUAAGCCUCGGCUAACUACGUGCCAGCAGCCGCGGUAAUACGUAGGUCGCAAGCGUUAUCCGGAUUUACUGGGUGUAAAGGUCGUGUAGGCGGGACUGCAAGUCAGCUGUGAAAACCACGGGCUCAACCUGUGGCCUGCAUUUGAAACUGGAGUUCUUGAGUACUGGGGAGGUAGACGGAAUUCCUAGUGUAGCGGUGAAAUGCGUAGAUAUUAGGAGGAACACCAGGGGCGAAGGCGGUCUGCGGGACAGCAACUGACGCUGAGGCGCGAAAGCGUGGGGAGCAAACAGGAUUAGAUACCCGAGUAGUC
Molecule: ribosomal RNA, 443 nt
Filed under: uncultured bacterium
Lineage: Bacteria
Description: partial 16S ribosomal RNA
Rfam family: Bacterial small subunit ribosomal RNA
Source: RNAcentral